Molecule: ribosomal RNA, 253 nt
Filed under: uncultured bacterium
Lineage: Bacteria
Description: partial 16S ribosomal RNA
Rfam family: Bacterial small subunit ribosomal RNA
Source: RNAcentral
UACGUAGGGUGCGAGCGUUAAUCGGAAUUACUGGGCGUAAAGGGCGCGUAGGCGGCCGAUCAAGUCAGGCGUGAAAUUCCCGGGCUCAACCUGGGGGCUGCGCUUGAUACUGAUUGGCUUGAAUGCGGGAGAGGAUAGUGGAAUUCCCAGUGUAGAGGUGAAAUUCGUAGAUAUUGGGAAGAACACCGGUGGCGAAGGCGGCUAUCUGGCCCGUAAUUGACGCUGAGGCGCGAAAGCGUGGGGAGCAAACAGG